Molecule: long non-coding RNA, 1258 nt
Organism: Clupea harengus (Atlantic herring)
Lineage: Eukaryota; Metazoa; Chordata; Actinopteri; Clupeiformes; Clupeidae
Source: Ensembl
CACACUCCACCUCACACACUCCACCUUCACUCAACACAGUUUACAGUCCAGGCGAGGUGUCCGGGCCACAAGUGUCGCUUGACAAAAAAUGACGUAAAAGCGAUAAUAUUUGUGUCUGCUAGGGUGUUCCAGACCACGUCACGAACAUGCACAAUUUUGAAAGGACUCAGACGUUGAAAGAAGUUUUUGUCGCUAACUUUGAUUGGAUAAGAAGAGAUUGGACGUUUUGUUUUGUUGCCAAGGAUAUGUCCAUCUGGCUGUAGCAUCCUAGGUAGCUAGCAGUGUCAGCUGUAAAGUUAUCAUUUGAUGAAGCAUUGACUUAAUCAACAGUCGAGGAGAUAUCAUUUCUACGUUAAUGAUGGGAUCACAAAGGAAGAUGUGCGUUCAGGAUGAAUCGGUCCCUCUUCCAUGGCCGAUACCACUUGAAGUAGUUGACUAAUGUUAGCUAGGUAGAUUAGCCAUAGAGAUGACACGUUCAGAUCUAAUCCAUCUUGUCAUCAGUGACGGAUAUCACAGGUUGUCACGGUGAUUUAAAGCCAUCUUGUCAUCAGUGACGGAUAUCACAGGUUGUCACGGCGAUUAAAGCCAUCUUGUCAUCAGUGACGGAUAUCACAGGUUGUCACGGUGAUUUAAAGCCCUUGCCAGAGCCUCUUAAUGGUUAUCGAGCGAUUGGCCUUUCCACUCACACGUUCAACAUUACUCAAGCAUUACAUUCACAAUCACAGGACAGUGUUCUGUUUGGUGUGUGUGAGAGAACAGUGUUAUAUUCCACACUGUUGAAACCCUACAUACAGUACCAGUCAAAAGUUUGGACACACCUUUAAUUUUUGUGUUAAGUGUUUUCUUUACUUUUAUUAUUUUCUACAUGGUAGAUUAAUACUGAAGACAUUUAAACUACGAAAGAACACAUAUGGAAUGAUGUACUAAACAAAAAAAAGUGUUAUCUACCAUGUAGAAAAUAAUAAAAGUAUAGAAAAAGCUUCUCAAAAAAUGAGAAGGUGUGUCCAAACUUUUGACUGGUACUGUAUAUGCCCAACAGAAGGUCCUCAACACCCCCAGACUGGCCCAAAAGCAGAAGUGUUCUUUGAAUAUUCUCUCGAUAUAUACCUGAAUAAUAAGCAUAUCUUGAACUAGGUCCAACUCUUUGGCAUGCGUCAUGCAGUUUGUCGCAGUACAGUGCGCAUUGUAUGCGAUACGGCAGUGGGUGGACUGACAGCAGAAUGGUGGGGAUAACUACCAUUAUCACGAUCAUCCCUCU